Molecule: ribosomal RNA, 301 nt
Filed under: uncultured bacterium
Lineage: Bacteria
Description: partial 16S ribosomal RNA
Rfam family: Bacterial small subunit ribosomal RNA
Source: RNAcentral
CAGCAGCCACGGUAAAACGAAGGGUGCAAGCGUUAAUCGGAACUACUGGGCGUAAAGCGUGCGUAGGCGGUGAGUUAAGUCUGCUGUGAAAUCCCCGGGCUCAACCUGGGAAUGGCAAUGGAUACUGGCAAGCUAGAGUGUGUCAGAGGAUGGUGGAAUUCCCGGUGUAGCGGUGAAAUGCGUAGAGAUCGGGAGGAACAUCAGUGGCGAAGGCGGCCAUCUGGGACAACACUGACGCUGAGGCACGAAAGCGUGGGGAGCAAACAGGAUUAGAGACCCCCGUAGUCCCUGUCUCUUAUAC